RNAcentral lists this ribosomal RNA (488 nucleotides) under uncultured bacterium. RNAcentral describes it as "partial 16S ribosomal RNA". It matches the Rfam family "Bacterial small subunit ribosomal RNA", at positions 28 to 507 of the family's 1533-position model. The record is from RNAcentral.
GACGAACGCUGGCGGCGUGCUUAACACAUGCAAGUCGAACGGAAAGGCCCUGCUUUGGUGGGGUGCUCGAGUGGCGAACGGGUGAGUAACACGUGAGUAACCUGACCUUGACUGUGGGAUAACUUCAGGAAACUGGGGCUAAUACCGGAUAGGAGCUCCUGCUGCAUGGGGGGGGUUGGAAAGUGUCGGCGGUGGGGGAUGGACUCACGUCGUAUUAGCUUGUUGGUGGGGUAAUGGCUUACCAAGGCGUUGACCGGUAGCCGGUGUGAGAGGGUGGCCGGCGACACGGGAGCGUGGACAGGGCCCAGGCGCCUACGGGACGCAGCAGUGUCGUAUGGUGGGCAGCGGGGGGGAAUAUUGUCCAACGGGCCCGCGCGUGAGGUAGAGGCCUCCCGGUUGGAAUGCACGUCUUCGAGUUGAGAACCGCUUCCGCCUGUGACCCCGUGUGAGUGACGGUACCUGCUGAAGAAGCACCGGCUAACUACGUG